GACGAACCGUGCGAACGUUGUUCGGAAUCACUGGGCUUAAAGGGCGCGUAGGCGGUCUGCCAAGUCCGGGGUGAAAGCCCCCAGCUCAACUGGGGAAGUGCCUUGGAUACUGGUGGACUCGAGCGAGGCAGGGGUCGUGGGAACUUCCGGUGGAGCGGUGAAAUGCGUUGAUAUCGGAAGGAACGCCGGUGGCGAAAGCGCACGACUGGUCCUCUUCUGACGCUGAGGCGCGAAAGCCAGGGGAGCAAACGGG
RNAcentral lists this ribosomal RNA (253 nucleotides) under uncultured bacterium. Its description in RNAcentral is "partial 16S ribosomal RNA". It matches the Rfam family "Bacterial small subunit ribosomal RNA", at positions 524 to 776 of the family's 1533-position model. The record is from RNAcentral.